Molecule: ribosomal RNA, 433 nt
Filed under: uncultured bacterium
Lineage: Bacteria
Description: bacterial SSU rRNA
Rfam family: Bacterial small subunit ribosomal RNA
Source: RNAcentral
AACGCGAAGAACCUUACCAAGACUUGACAUCGUAUGACCGCCAUAGAAAUAUGGAAUCCCCUUCGGGGGCAUAUAGACAGGUGGUGCAUGGUUGUCGUCAGCUCGUGUCGUGAGAUGUUCGGUUAAGUCCGGCAACGAGCGCAACCCUUAUUACCAGUUGCCAAUAUUAAGUUAGGAACUCUGGUGAGACUGCCGUGGUCAACACGGAGGAAGGUGGGGAUGACGUCAAAUCAUCAUGCCCCUUACGUCUUGGGCUACACACGUGCUACAAUGGCUGCAACAAAGGGCAGCGAAACCGUAAGGUGGAGCGAAUCCCAAAAAAGCAGUCUUAGUUCGGAUUGUGGGCUGCAACCCGCCCACAUGAAGCAGGAGUUGCUAGUAAUCGCGAAUCAGAACGUCGCGGUGAAUGCGUUCCCGGGUCUUGUACACACCG